UUUGGUCAUUAUUACGGUUGUCAGAAGUGUGCUUUUUCCUCUUUUUUUACCCCAGUUCACACGCUACUUAUGUGUCUCUGCAAAAAAAUUCUUUUAACCUUUUUUCACCCUAAAUUCAAAAAUUCAACCUCUCCCUCUCAAUUUGUUCUCUCAAAUUUUUCAGGAUUUCGAAGAAAUUUCAGGAUCCAUUGCUAAAUUUUGAAUUAAUCGACAAGAGUAUAUGUCGAAAUCUGGUAAUACUCCAUUGAAGAUGCAAAAAGUCAUGCAUAUUGCAAAAUAAAAAAGGAAGACCAAAAAAGUGGAUAAACAUAAAGAAAAUAAUUUUUUUUUCAUGUUUUGACUUCAAAGAAGAAGCAUAAAGUAAAAAAGAUUGCAUCUACAAGCAAUAAAAGACAACUCAGUUGAAGUUUUGAUUUCAAAGAAGAAGCGUAAAGUAAAAGAUAUUGCAUUUACCAGUAAUGAAGAAGAUGCCCAAUCUGAUUCAGUUGAACAACUACAAUUUGAAAGAAUUGAGGGAGCACAAUUUCUUUUCAAGGAAGAUCCACUUUACACCCCACAUAUGCAAUACUAUAUCAAUAUUGGGGUAAUGGAUCAAUUACGCUCCAAUCAAGCUGAGAGAUUAGUGAAAUGAGGCACCAGACAAGCCAAUCAGAUCAAACGUUGAUGUGGAUAGUAGUGACCGUAUCAUAGUCACUUAGUUUUAUUGUAUCUUUUAUGUUUAUUUGAAAUUUUGUAUUAGCAGUAAUACUUUGUGAAUAUUCCAGUUUGAUGGGAAUAACAUUUUG
Molecule: long non-coding RNA, 785 nt
Organism: Solanum lycopersicum (tomato)
Lineage: Eukaryota; Viridiplantae; Streptophyta; Magnoliopsida; Solanales; Solanaceae
Source: RefSeq, a predicted model, not a curated record